Pelobates cultripes (western spadefoot toad) is the source of this 215-nucleotide non-coding RNA. The record is from the annotation of a GenBank genome assembly. Lineage: Eukaryota; Metazoa; Chordata; Amphibia; Anura; Pelobatidae.
CACAUCCCGGCAUUUAUGACUGCUUAUCCCGGUCUUAUUGAGGGUGACCCACUCGUCAGACCACUCCUCGGAUUUUACUAAGUGGUACUGAUUGACUGACAAUUCUGGGUGACCCCUAGUUGUAUGUGGAGGCUCACUGUGCGGCAACAAGUGUACUACCGUACCUGACACCCGUUCUGUUUCCCAUAGACCAAAAGAGUGUAACCCAGCAUGUC